ACUCAUCUUACGGUCAUUGUUCAAGCCUAUGUCCUUACCAGGUGGAGAAGUGCCAACGUAUUUUCAACAUCGAGCUUAUGGAGAUUCCCUAACUGUCACUUUACCUUAGAGCUCUCUUUCUCAAGUAUUCUUGCUUUAAGGCUUGCAUCGUGGUUGACCUUCUAACUGAGGGCAAGAGUUGGGGUCCAUAUUGUGAGGUAAAUGCUGGCUUCAAUGGGACACUGUAUUGCAAAUCAUUUUUUAAAGAUGCAGACCUGCGGUUGUGUAAGACGGAUCAUCUGGUUUUCUGUUCCUUCAACUUCCAGCCUGAAGAUCUUCCAUCUAAAUUGACUUUCAACGAUGUGGAGUUUAACUUUUCUUGCUCCAAGAGGAUAAAAGAAUGUGGUAUACGACUCUUGAAUGUGUCUCCAUUUCCAGAUGAUAGUGAUGGAAGCUCUGAAACAGAGUACAGCCAACAGUCUCGAGAAAAAUGUGAUGUUGUAGAGACUGCGAGAAGCAAUAAGCGGAUGCGGAUGACAUCGGGAACAUCUGAAGAAUAUAUCAACUUACCCUGUGUCCAAAUUGUAGCGGACACAAGCUUGACCGCUCUAAAUAUGGAGCUUUCGUUAGGGCAGGGAGAAGCAUCAUCAGUUUCUUCUUAUCCAUCUCUGGAGGGGGAAUCUUUGUGUGUUGAUUCCAUGAUAAGUGAACAACAAGAUGAAGAAAUUCCUAUCUUGAAUUCUGGUUCUGAUAUAUCACUUCCCUUGAUACUAGUUAAAUCCAUAUGAAAAUAUCUUGUUCCCUGAGCUACUCAUUAACACAUCUAGGAUGGGAUGGAAAAGCUAAUUCUCUAGGGCUGUUCUCGGCUGAAUGGUCUUUGGACCAAGGACCUAAAAAAAGACGUGUGUUCUGCGGGAGUUACUUUGUUAUACCUCAUAAUGGGAAGGAAAGCUCUCACUGGUGACCCUGAACAGAACAUAAAGGACAUUGCGCAACUACGAGGCAGUGAAGAAUUAUGGGAAGUAGCCAAGCUGCACAACCGUGAAUCCUCUUUACAUGAGGAAUUGUACAAGUCAAGGUACUUGAAAGGGAUGGAGUUGAGAAAAUGGUACGAACUCAACCCAAAACGCAUGGAGUUUCUAGAUGCAAUUCCAUGGUCGCUCCUUGACCUCGUUGAUAGAUGUUUGACCGUUAACCCGAGACGGCGAAUCAGUGCAGAGGAUGCUCUCAAGCACGACUUCUUCCAUCCAGUACAUGAAACCUACCCUUAGAAACCAAAUGCUCCUUAAACGGCAGCAAAUGCAAUCGCAGCCUACAGUGGUUGCUGACACAGUAAGCCAAAACUCUAAACUAAUAUUACAAUUGUAAAUGUAAACAAGAAAACUUUACAUGAAAAUAUUCUCUCCACUGUCCACACCACACAGCUCUAGAAAACUAGAUAGUUUGUU
Arabidopsis thaliana (thale cress) is the source of this 1427-nucleotide non-coding RNA. The record is from RefSeq. Lineage: Eukaryota; Viridiplantae; Streptophyta; Magnoliopsida; Brassicales; Brassicaceae.